AAUUACUAAAAAAUAGUAAAUAAUGAAAUAAAAAAUAUUAAAAAUCAUUUUUAGAAAGUAGGAAUUAAAAGAGAAAUAAUGCAAUUGGUCCCAUAAUUUUUGGACCAAUAAUGAAAGAGAUAUGAAUUUUAGAAAUAAAAUGGAAUCAAAAGAAAUAAAAGAAAAUAAAAGUCAGACUUUAAAAAUAACAAAAAGCGUGGAGCGUUGGUUGGAGAGCUCAUU
RNAcentral lists this long non-coding RNA (222 nucleotides) under Lathyrus oleraceus (garden pea). RNAcentral describes it as "Pisum sativum (pea) long non-coding RNA (PSAT_LNC014230)". Lineage: Eukaryota; Viridiplantae; Streptophyta; Magnoliopsida; Fabales; Fabaceae. The record is from RNAcentral.